This 596-nucleotide ribosomal RNA is filed under the name Pseudomonas sp. Cdan10. Its description in RNAcentral is "bacterial SSU rRNA". It matches the Rfam family "Bacterial small subunit ribosomal RNA", at positions 104 to 696 of the family's 1533-position model. The record is from RNAcentral. Lineage: Bacteria; Pseudomonadati; Pseudomonadota; Gammaproteobacteria; Pseudomonadales; Pseudomonadaceae.
GGGUGAGUAAUGCCUAGGAAUCUGCCUGGUAGUGGGGGAUAACGUCCGGAAACGGGCGCUAAUACCGCAUACGUCCUGAGGGAGAAAGUGGGGGAUCUUCGGACCUCACGCUAUCAGAUGAGCCUAGGUCGGAUUAGCUAGUUGGUGGGGUAAAGGCCUACCAAGGCGACGAUCCGUAACUGGUCUGAGAGGAUGAUCAGUCACACUGGAACUGAGACACGGUCCAGACUCCUACGGGAGGCAGCAGUGGGGAAUAUUGGACAAUGGGCGAAAGCCUGAUCCAGCCAUGCCGCGUGUGUGAAGAAGGUCUUCGGAUUGUAAAGCACUUUAAGUUGGGAGGAAGGGCAGUAAGUUAAUACCUUGCUGUUUUGACGUUACCAACAGAAUAAGCACCGGCUAACUUCGUGCCAGCAGCCGCGGUAAUACGAAGGGUGCAAGCGUUAAUCGGAAUUACUGGGCGUAAAGCGCGCGUAGGUGGUUCAGCAAGUUGGAUGUGAAAUCCCCGGGCUCAACCUGGGAACUGCAUCCAAAACUACUGAGCUAGAGUACGGUAGAGGGUGGUGGAAUUUCCUGUGUAGCGGUGAAAUGCGUAGAUA